AUCUGGGGCCACAGAAGCUUGAAAGCACUGAAUCCCGUCCCAUCUGCCAAGUCAAGCACGCUAUCGUAUAGUCAGCACUGGUGACCACGCGGGAAUACUCCUUCUCCUCAGAAG
RNAcentral lists this ribosomal RNA (114 nucleotides) under Pseudozyma hubeiensis SY62. The record is from RNAcentral. Lineage: Eukaryota; Fungi; Basidiomycota; Ustilaginomycetes; Ustilaginales; Ustilaginaceae.